Molecule: long non-coding RNA, 1480 nt
Organism: Oncorhynchus tshawytscha (Chinook salmon)
Lineage: Eukaryota; Metazoa; Chordata; Actinopteri; Salmoniformes; Salmonidae
Source: Ensembl
UUUAGUUUUAUACAAUAUUUAUUACAACUUCCUCGCCAACUGUACAUGUUCGCAUCAUAUCAACAAGUUUUACAAGGACAGGUAACUAUGAAAUCCAUCUGAUUAAAAUAGCAUGUUCUCUUAUCAAAUGACCGCGGACUUCCUCAUUCACGGUUUGUUUCUCCCAUACGGUGCUGUACAUAUCGUAUACAAGCAUCAAUAUAAACACAUGGAAAAUGGAAAAGGUUAUUUGGUAAUUCAGUUCAUGUAAAAAAACAAGUGUUCUUCCUAUGAAUAAAAAUACAGUGACCAAAAAACCUGCUGAUAAAUUCUGACUGAAAAGCCUAUUAUCAUUAUUAAACUAAUAUCUUCUCCUAGGAGGUUUAUUAUAGCCUGGUUAAACCAUACUGGAACGCUGAUCGCCAUUGUUUCAAACAUUCAGUCUGGUUUAACCAGGCAAUAAAUGUUUAUUGUCCCAUAGUUUCGGUUUCCAUGUCAAGACAGCACAAACUUGAUGUGGGACCAGGCUAGGAGACUAACUGAUGUGGGACCAGGCUAGGAGACUGAUGUGGGACCAGGCUAGGAGACUAACUGAUGUGGGACCAGGCUAGGAGACUAACUGAUGUGGGACCAGGCUAGGAGACUAACUGAUGUGGGACCAGGCUAGGAGACUAACUGAUGUGGGACCAGGCUAGGAGACUAACUGAUGUGGGACCAGGCUAGGAGACUAACUGAUGUGGGACCAGGCUAGGAGACUGAUGUGGGACCAGGCUAGGAGACUAACUGAUGUGGGACCAGGCUAGGAGACUAACUGAUGUGGGACCAGGCUAGGAGACUGAUGUGGGACCAGGCUAGGAGACUAACUGAUGUGGGACCAGGCUAGGAGACUUUUCCAGAGCUCCUCUGUCAUGAUUAAUGGCAAGUGGUUUUGAAACUAGCUCUUAGUUCCAAACUGCACCCUAUUCCCUAUAUAGGGCUCUGGUCUAAAGUAGUACACUAAGUAGGGUAUAGUGUUCCAUUUGGGAUGCAGUGGGGUAGUUUUACGUUUAUCGGGAGACGUGCAAAAACCAAACAGGACAGACAGUUAAGAGACACGUUGCCCUACCAAUCAUAUCAACACACGUCAGGAGACCAGUCUUUCACACAUGAAGAGUCAAACAAAGUUCAUCAGUUGCAUAAUAAGAUGGACAAAUAUAUUUUUGUUAUUAUGUGAAUAUUUUAAUUAAAAAAGACAACAGAAUCAGGAUCUACACUACUACAGCCCCUAAACCGUCUCUUCAGCAGCAGAGAAACACAUGUACACUACUACAGCCCCUAAACCGUCUCUUCAGCAGCAGAGAAACACAUGUACACUACUAAAAGCCCCUAAACCGUCUCUUCAGCAGCAGAGAAACACAUGUAGACUACUACAGCCCCUAAACCGUCUCUUCAGCAGCAGAGAAACACAUGUAGACUACUACAGCCCCUAAACCGUCUCUUCAGCAGCAGAGAAACACAUGUA